AUGGAGUACUACUACUAUCACAUUCUACUGGCUUUUGUCCCUCUCGUCGUGUACUACUACUACCUCAUAAAAUCAUGGUUCCGCGGUCAUCGGCUCCCGCCGGGCCCAUGGCAACUUCCCGUCAUCGGUAGCCUCCACCACCUCCGCGGCGACGUCCCACACCGCAGGAUGCGCGACCUGUCCCGCCGCCAUGGGCCUGUGAUGUUCCUCAAACUGGGAGGGAUCCCGGUUGUGGUCGCCUCAUCCCGCGAAGCCGCGGAGGAUGUGCUGAGCACCAACGACGCCGUGCUGGCUUCCAGGCCGCAGACUCCAACGGUGAAGGUCCUGACAAGGCAAGGGCACGACAUCGUGCUGGCCAAACAAGGGGAGCACUGGCGGCAGUUGCGCAAGAUCUGCGUGCACGAGCUUCUCAGUGCCAGCCGCGUCCGGUCCUUCCGGCCCAUCCGUGAGCAGGAAGCCAUGCGGCUCGUCCAGGCCGUGGCGGCCUCGUCGGCGGGUGCGAACCUCGACGAGCUGCUCGCCGCGCAUGUCAACAACGUGACUGUGCGCGCAGUCAUGGGUGACGGCGAGGUGGAUGACCGGGAAACGUUGCUGCGUCUCACCGCCAAAGCCAUUGAGUUGGUCGGGAGCUUCCACCUGGCCGACAUGUUUCCAUCGUCGUGGAUAGCACGUGCUCUGAGCUCCCGGGCCAUGCACAGGGUGGAGCUGUACGUGGAGGAGCUAUUUACAUUCAUGGAUGUCAUCAUAAGUCAACACCUGGAGAGAAGAAGAAGCUCGGCGCAUGUGGAGGAAGAAGACCUCAUAGAUGUCCUCUUGAGGAUUCGUGAGGAAAGCAGCCUUGGGUUCCCUAUUUCCAUGGCUACAAUCAAGGGCGUUCUCUUUGAUGUUUUAGCAGCGGGGAGCGAAACUCCGGCGUCGGUGCUCCUGUGGGCCAUGGCAGAGCUGAUGAGGAACCCGGCCAUCAUGUCUAGGGCACAAUCUGAGGUAAGAGAGGCCUUCAUGGAGCAAAGGAAAGUAACCGAGGAUGGCCUAGGAAAACUGAGCUACUUGCAAAGUGUGAUCAAAGAGACGUUGAGGAUGCACACUCCUGGACCAUUGGCGCUGCCAAGGGAGAGCCAGGAAGCAUGCCGCAUCAUGGGGUAUGAUGUGCCCAAGGGGACAAUGGUCCUUGUGAAUGCAUGGGCAAUCUCAAGAGACCCGGAGCAGUGGGACGAGCCAGAGGUGUUCAAGCCAGACAGAUUUGUGACCGACAGGAGGGAUUUCAGAGGACGCGACUACGAGUUCACGCCGUUUGGUGCCGGACGACGGAUCUGCCCUGGAAUGCUGUUCAGCGCUGCCAGUAUGUAUCUGGCUCUCGCGCAUCUCCUUUUCUAUUUUGACUGGGAUCUCAUGGAGGACACGACCGCUGCUGAACUGGACAUGACCGAAACUAUGGGAAUGACCGCUAGGAGGAAAGCACAACUUUGGCUAAAGCCAACACUUCACGCUUCUUUUGAUUUCAAGAUGAACUAA
This 1512-nucleotide ribosomal RNA is filed under the name Triticum aestivum (bread wheat). Its description in RNAcentral is "partial small subunit ribosomal RNA". Lineage: Eukaryota; Viridiplantae; Streptophyta; Magnoliopsida; Poales; Poaceae. The record is from RNAcentral.